CCCUUAGACGUUCUGGGCCGCACGCGCGCUACACUGACACAGGCAACGAGCUUUCCUUUACCGAAAGGUAUGGGUAAUCUUUUGAAACUGUGUCGUGCUGGGGAUAGAUCCUUGCAAUUUUUGAUCUUAAACGAGGAAUUCCUAGUAAGCGCGAGUCAUCAACUCGCGUUGAUUACGUCCCUGCCCUUUGUACACACCGCCCGUCGCUACUACCGAUUGAAUGGCUUAGUGAGGCCUCAGGAUCCGCGCUUAAUGCGUGGAGAAUUUGGACAAACUACGUCAUUUAGAGGAAGUAAAAGUCGUAACA
This 307-nucleotide ribosomal RNA is filed under the name uncultured eukaryote. RNAcentral describes it as "partial 18S ribosomal RNA". It matches the Rfam family "Eukaryotic small subunit ribosomal RNA", at positions 1470 to 1796 of the family's 1831-position model. The record is from RNAcentral.